ACCUUUUUCAUUUCCUCCUCUAGCUCCCAAGUUGUCUCCUCUCCAAAAUGAUGUCUCCAAAUUACUUGAACCAGUGGGAUGACCCGAUUCCUUAGGACUUUUUCUUUCUUAUCAAUAAUCUGAAUAGGCUCUUCCACAUAGGAUAAAUCUUUAUCGAACUCCACCAGCUCAUACUUAAUGAUGUGAGAAGGGUCAUACAUAUACUUUCUAAUCAUCGAGACAUGAAAUAUAUCAUGGACAUGGCUCAAUGCUGGUGGCAAGGCAAUCCUGUAAGCGACAGAACCAACCCUCUCAAGAACCUCAAAAGGUCCAAUGAAUCUUGGGCUUAAUUUUCCUUUCUUCCCAAACCUUAUAAUGCCUUUGGAAGGGGAGACUUUUAAUAAUACAAAAUCUCCGAUUUCAAACUCAAUAUCUCGUCUUCUAUUGUCAGCAUAACUCUUUUGACGACUCUGAGCAGUUUUUAACCUUUUCCUUAUUACUUGAAUUUUCUCGGUAGUUUCUUGUACCUUGUCCGGUGCCAACAGCUUUCUGUCACCAACUUCCUCCCAACAUAUAGGUGUUAUGCACUUUCGCUCAUAUAAAGCUUCAUAAGGAGCCAUCUGAAUACUUGAAUGAUAACUAUUGUUAUAAGUGAACUCAACAAGUGAAAUAUCCUUAUCCCAUUCACCUUUCCAAUCCAUAACAUAGGCUCUAAGCAGAUCCUCAAGUGUUUGAAUUGUUCUUUCUGACUGACCAUCAGUCUGAGGAUGAUAUGCAGUACUAAACUUGACUUUAGUGCCCAUCGACUCCUGCAAUUUUCUCCAGAAUCUAGAGAGAAAUCUGGAGUCUCUAUCAGAGAUGAUCUCCUUUGGAAUACCAUGAAGUCUUACUAUUUCAUUAACAUAUAAAUCUGCAAGUCUAUCAAGCGAAUAAGUCAUAUUAAUCGGUAGGAAAUGCGCAGAUUUUGUUAACCUAUCAAUGAUAACCCAAAUAGCAUCAUGCUUCCUCGAGGUUCUGGGUAGUCCUGAAACAAAAUCCAUAGUAAUACAUUCCCAUUUCCAUUCAGGAAUAACUAAAGGUUGCAACAACCCUCCAGGUCUUUGGUGUUCUACUUUGAUUUGCUGACAAGUCAAACAUUUAGAAACAUACAUUGCAAUUUCUUUCUUCAUGCCUUCCCACCAAUAAUGACUUUGAAUAUCUCUAUACAUCUUAGUGCUCCCAGGGUGUAGGGUGUACUUUGAAGUAUGACUUUCAUUUAGGAUUUGAUUCUUGAUAUCCGGUUCAUUUGGUACACAUACUCUCUCCCCAAAUCUCAAUAGGCCAUCCUUUGAAAUUUGAAAUUGUGGCUUCAAUCCCUUUUCUACUUCAUUCCUCAAGUAGAUUAAAUAUGGAUCUCGUAAUUGUCCUUCCUUAAUUUGUUGAAUAAGAUCAGAUUGCACUUGAAUGGAGGCCAUCAAUAUCAUCGAGUCUUGCUCUUUCCUCAAAGCUUUCA
Molecule: long non-coding RNA, 1471 nt
Filed under: Musa acuminata (dwarf banana)
Lineage: Eukaryota; Viridiplantae; Streptophyta; Magnoliopsida; Zingiberales; Musaceae
Description: long non-coding RNA (MACU_LNC011264)
Source: RNAcentral